AGAGUUUGAUCAUGGCUCAGAAUCAACGCUGGCGGCGCGCUUAACACAUGCAAGUCGAACGAGAAAGGGGAGCAAUCCCUGAGUACAGUGGCGUACGGGUGAGUAACACGUGGGUCAUCUACCCUUGGGUGGGGAAUAACCCUGGGAAACCGGGGCUAAUACCGCAUAUCUCCGAGAGGAGAAAGUCGCAAGACGCCUAAGGAGGAGCCCGCGGCCGAUUAGCUAGUUGGUAGGGUAAAAGCCUACCAAGGCUCAGAUCGGUAGCCGGCCUGAGAGGGCACUCGGCCACACUGGCACUGAAACACGGGCCAGACUCCUACGGGAGGCAGCAGUGGGGAAUCUUGCACAAUGGGGGAAACCCUGAUGCAGCGACGCCGCGUGAGCGAUGAAGCCCUUCGGGGUGUAAAGCUCUUUCGGCAGGGACGAUUAUGACGGUACCUGCAGAAGCAG
RNAcentral lists this ribosomal RNA (450 nucleotides) under uncultured Acidobacteriaceae bacterium. RNAcentral's name for it is "bacterial SSU rRNA". It matches the Rfam family "Bacterial small subunit ribosomal RNA", at positions 8 to 490 of the family's 1533-position model. The record is from RNAcentral. Lineage: Bacteria; Pseudomonadati; Acidobacteriota; Terriglobia; Terriglobales; Acidobacteriaceae.